GGGUUGAUAAUGUAUCUAGCAUAUCUUUUUUGCAAGAAGAAAGUCACCAAUCCAC
RNAcentral lists this transfer RNA (55 nucleotides) under Trichinella pseudospiralis. RNAcentral's name for it is "tRNA-Ala". Lineage: Eukaryota; Metazoa; Nematoda; Enoplea; Trichinellida; Trichinellidae. The record is from RNAcentral.